UGACGAAUUGAAGAAACCUUUGGUUGUUUCAUCAGAGCCAGAACCUGCGAUGAUUCCAGUUGCUGUGGAGCCGGAUGAGUCCCCCCGUGCUGGAAAAGAAGAUGCUUUGAUUAGAAAACCAGCAGGCUCCCAGUCUGCAGUCCACGGAGGUGAUGACAUGAUGGAUGAUCUUGAUGAGAUGAUUUUUGGUAAAAAAGCAGGCGGCACAUCUGAAGCAGGACAUGACACAAAGAAGCAGCAAUCACCAAAAGAUGAUCUCAUCUCAUUUUGAAUUCCUUCCCGUGCAUUUGACUUAAUACUGGAAUCCACAGGCUUUGGUGAUGUUAAUAUCAGGCUUGUUCAAUUUCUACGAACUCUUGUGCUCAUGAUUGAACCUUCUCAUAAAUGGAUGUAGAAACUUCGUCGAUUUGGUCUCCACAUAUACCUGAAUUACUUAUAGUUUUAAUGUUUGAACUAUUGGGAUUUAACUGCUUGGAAAAGAUGUGCCCUGCUUGUUUUUCAUGGAUAUUGGAUGA
Molecule: long non-coding RNA, 515 nt
Filed under: Nicotiana benthamiana
Lineage: Eukaryota; Viridiplantae; Streptophyta; Magnoliopsida; Solanales; Solanaceae
Description: long non-coding RNA (NBEN_LNC012789)
Source: RNAcentral